AUCCAGCUGAUGAGUCCUAAACGGAACGAAAUGCGCAUCCUGGAU
Molecule: non-coding RNA, 45 nt
Filed under: Trichobilharzia regenti
Lineage: Eukaryota; Metazoa; Platyhelminthes; Trematoda; Strigeidida; Schistosomatidae
Source: RNAcentral